GUGCCAGCCGCCGCGGUAAUACGAAGGGUGCAAGCGUUACUCGGAAUUACUGGGCGUAAAGCGUGCGUAGGUGGUUCGUUAAGUCUGCCGUGAAAGCCCCGGGCUCAACCUGGGAAUGGCGGUGGAUACUGGCGGACUAGAGUGCGGUAGAGGGUGGUGGAAUUCCCGGUGUAGCAGUGAAAUGCGUAGAGAUCGGGAGGAACAUCUGUGGCGAAGGCGGCCACCUGGACCAGCACUGACACUGAGGCACGAAAGCGUGGGGAGCAAACAGGAUUAGAUACCCCCGUAGUCC
Molecule: ribosomal RNA, 292 nt
Filed under: uncultured bacterium
Lineage: Bacteria
Description: partial 16S ribosomal RNA
Rfam family: Bacterial small subunit ribosomal RNA
Source: RNAcentral